This 253-nucleotide ribosomal RNA is filed under the name uncultured bacterium. Its description in RNAcentral is "partial 16S ribosomal RNA". It matches the Rfam family "Bacterial small subunit ribosomal RNA", at positions 524 to 776 of the family's 1533-position model. The record is from RNAcentral.
UACGGAGGGGGCUAGCGUUGUUCGGAUAUACUGGGCGUAAAGCGCACGUAGGCGGCGCGGUAAGUCAGGGGUGAAAUCCCGGAGCUCAACUCCGGAACUGCCCUUGAAACUGCAGUGCUAGAGUCUUGGAGAGGCGAGUGGAAUUCCGAGUGUAGAGGUGAAAUUCGUAGAUAUUCGGAAGAACACCAGUGGCGAAGGCGACUCGCUGGACAAGUAUUGACGCUGAGGUGCGAAAGCGUGGGGAGCAAACAGG